UACGGUGGGGGCAAGCGUUGUUCGGAAUUACUGGGCGUAAAGGGCUCGUAGGCGGCCAACUAAGUCGGACGUGAAAUCCCCAGGCUCAACCUGGGAACUGCGUCCGAUACUGGAUGGCUUGAAUCCGGGAGAGGGAUGCAGAAUUCCAGGUGUAGCGGUGAAAUGCGUAGAUAUCUGGAGGAACACCGGUGGCGAAGGCGGCAUCCUGGACCGGCAUUGACGCUGAGGAGCGAAAGCCAGGGGAGCAAACGGG
RNAcentral lists this ribosomal RNA (253 nucleotides) under uncultured bacterium. RNAcentral describes it as "partial 16S ribosomal RNA". It matches the Rfam family "Bacterial small subunit ribosomal RNA", at positions 524 to 776 of the family's 1533-position model. The record is from RNAcentral.